RNAcentral lists this ribosomal RNA (306 nucleotides) under uncultured bacterium. RNAcentral describes it as "partial 16S ribosomal RNA". It matches the Rfam family "Bacterial small subunit ribosomal RNA", at positions 505 to 808 of the family's 1533-position model. The record is from RNAcentral.
GACAGCAGUAGCCACGGGAAUACGGAGGGUGCAAGCGUUACUCGGAAUCACUGGGCGUAAAGGACGCGUAGGCGGAUUAUCAAGUCUCUUGUGAAAUCUAACGGCUUAACCGUUAAACUGCUUGGGAAACUGAUAAUCUAGAGUAAGGGAGAGGCAGAUGGAAUUCUUGGUGUAGGGGUAAGAUCCGUAGAGAUCAAGAAGAAUACCCAUUGCGAAAGCGAUCUGCUGGAACAUAACUGACGCUAAUGCGUGAAAGCGUGGGGAGCAACAGGAUUAGAUACCCCUGUAGUCCCUGUCUCUUAUACA